This 673-nucleotide ribosomal RNA is filed under the name Caiophora pterosperma. RNAcentral describes it as "eukaryotic LSU rRNA". The stretch from base 245 to 400 matches the Rfam family "5.8S ribosomal RNA". Lineage: Eukaryota; Viridiplantae; Streptophyta; Magnoliopsida; Cornales; Loasaceae. The record is from RNAcentral.
UCGUAACAAGGUUUCCGUAGGUGAACCUGCGGAAGGAUCAUUGUCGAUGCCUGCGCAACGCAGAGCGACCGCGAACGAGUUAAGCCGCGGCACGCCCUCCCCCCGAAAGGAGAGGGGGGCGAGGCCGCGAAACAACAACGAAACCCCGGCGCAUACCGCGCCAAGGAAAACGAACGGACGCGGACCCGGCGCGCCCCGUCCGCGGGCAGCGCGCCGGGCCGGCUUCGGAAAGUCGAAACUUAACGACUCUCGGCAACGGAUAUCUCGGCUCUCGCAUCGAUGAAGAACGUAGCGAAAUGCGAUACUUGGUGUGAAUUGCAGAAUCCCGUGAACCAUCGAGUCUUUGAACGCAAGUUGCGCCCGAAGCCAUUAGGCCGAGGGCACGUCUGCCUGGGCGUCACGCAAAGCGUCGCCCCCUCCUCAUCCGUCAGCGGUGCGGCGGGGGCGGAGGAUGGCCCCCCGCGUCCCUUCGGGAACGCGGCCGGCCGAAAUUCGGAAUCGCCCCGACGACGGGUCGUCGCGACAGGUGGUGGAGUCCAUCGAUAUCAUGCUGUCGCGCUGGAACCCGUCCCGGAAAGCGGCUCCCCGACCCACGGCUACUUCCUCGAGAGAGGCAAAGGAGCAUCGAUCGCGACCCCAGGUCAGGCGGGACUACCCGCUGAGUUUAAGCAUA